GCGGUAACAGAUCCAGCUUGCUGGAUGCUGACGAGCGGCGGACGGGUGAGUAAUGCAUAGGAAUCUGCCCGGUAGUGGGGGAUAACCUGGGGAAACCCAGGCUAAUACCGCAUACGUCCUACGGGAGAAAGGGGGCUUCGGCUCCCGCUAUCGGAUGAGCCUAUGUCGGAUUAGCUAGUUGGUGAGGUAACGGCUCACCAAGGCCACGAUCCGUAGCUGGUCUGAGAGGAUGAUCAGCCACAUCGGGACUGAGACACGGCCCGAACUCCUACGGGAGGCAGCAGUGGGGAAUAUUGGACAAUGGGGGGAACCCUGAUCCAGCCAUGCCGCGUGUGUGAAGAAGGCCCUCGGGUUGUAAAGCACUUUCAGCGAGGAAGAACGCCUAGCGGUUAAUACCCGCUAGGAAAGACAUCACUCGCAGAAGAAGCACCGGCUAACUCCGUGCCAGCAGCCGCGGUAAUACGGAGGGUGCAAGCGUUAAUCGGAAUUACUGGGCGUAAAGCGCGCGUAGGUGGCUUGAUAAGCCGGUUGUGAAAGCCCCGGGCUCAACCUGGGAACGGCAUCCGGAACUGUCAAGCUAGAGUGCAGGAGAGGAAGGUAGAAUUCCCGGUGUAGCGGUGAAAUGCGUAGAGAUCGGGAGGAAUACCAGUGGCGAAGGCGGCCUUCUGGACUGACACUGACACUGAGGUGCGAAAGCGUGGGUAGCAAACAGGAUUAGAUACGCUGGUAGUCCACGCCGUAUACGAUGUCGACCAGCCGUUGGGUGCCUAGCGCACUUUGUGGCGAAGUUAACGCGAUGAGUCGACCGCCUGGGGGAGUACGG
Molecule: ribosomal RNA, 823 nt
Filed under: Vreelandella aquamarina
Lineage: Bacteria; Pseudomonadati; Pseudomonadota; Gammaproteobacteria; Oceanospirillales; Halomonadaceae
Description: bacterial SSU rRNA
Rfam family: Bacterial small subunit ribosomal RNA
Source: RNAcentral